GAUGAACGCUGGCGGCGUGCCUAAUACAUGCAAGUCGAGCGAACGGACGAGAAGCUUGCUUCUCUGAUGUUAGCGUCGGACGGGUGAGUAACACGUGGAUAACCUACCUAUAAGACUGGGAUAACUUCGGGAAACCGGAGCUAAUACCGGAUAAUAUUUUGAACCGCAUGGUUCAAAAGUGAAAGACGGUCUUGCUGUCACUUAUAGAUGGAUCCGCGCUGCAUUAGCUAGUUGGUAAGGUAACGGCUUACCAAGGCAACGAUGCAUAGCCGACCUGAGAGGGUGAUCGGCCACACUGGAACUGAGACACGGUCCAGACUCCUACGGGAGGCAGCAGUAGGGAAUCUUCCGCAAUGGGCGAAAGCCUGACGGAGCAACGCCGCGUGAGUGAUGAAGGUCUUCGGAUCGUAAAACUCUGUUAUUAGGGAAGAACAUAUGUGUAAGUAACUGUGCACAUCUUGACGGUACCUAAUCAGAAAGCCACGGCUAACUACGUG
This 497-nucleotide ribosomal RNA is filed under the name uncultured bacterium. RNAcentral describes it as "partial 16S ribosomal RNA". It matches the Rfam family "Bacterial small subunit ribosomal RNA", at positions 28 to 507 of the family's 1533-position model. The record is from RNAcentral.